Molecule: ribosomal RNA, 429 nt
Filed under: bacterium
Lineage: Bacteria
Description: partial 16S ribosomal RNA
Rfam family: Bacterial small subunit ribosomal RNA
Source: RNAcentral
UAGGGAAUCUUCCACAAUGGACGCAAGUCUGAUGGAGCAACGCCGCGUGAGUGAAGAAGGUUUUCGGAUCGUAAAGCUCUGUUGUUGGUGAAGAAGGAUAGAGGCAGUAACUGGUCUUUAUUUGACGGUAAUCAACCAGAAAGUCACGGCUAACUACGUGCCAGCAGCCGCGGUAAUACGUAGGUGGCAAGCGUUGUCCGGAUUUAUUGGGCGUAAAGCGAGCGCAGGCGGAAUGAUAAGUCUGAUGUGAAAGCCCACGGCUCAACCGUGGAACUGCAUCGGAAACUGUCAUUCUUGAGUGCAGAAGAGGAGAGUGGAAUUCCAUGUGUAGCGGUGGAAUGCGUAGAUAUAUGGAAGAACACCAGUGGCGAAGGCGGCUCUCUGGUCUGCAACUGACGCUGGGGCUCGAAAGCAUGGGUAGCGAACAGG